RNAcentral lists this ribosomal RNA (253 nucleotides) under uncultured bacterium. Its description in RNAcentral is "partial 16S ribosomal RNA". It matches the Rfam family "Bacterial small subunit ribosomal RNA", at positions 524 to 776 of the family's 1533-position model. The record is from RNAcentral.
UACGUAGGGUGCGAGCGUUAAUCGGAAUUACUGGGCGUAAAGCGUGCGCAGGCGGUGAUGUAAGACAGUUGUGAAAUCCCCGGGCUCAACCUGGGAACUGCAUCUGUGACUGCAUCGCUGGAGUGCGGCAGAGGGGGAUGGAAUUCCGCGUGUAGCAGUGAAAUGCGUAGAUAUGCGGAGGAACACCGAUGGCGAAGGCAAUCCCCUGGGCCUGCACUGACGCUCAUGCACGAGAGCGUGGGGAGCAAACAGG